Molecule: ribosomal RNA, 442 nt
Filed under: uncultured bacterium
Lineage: Bacteria
Description: partial 16S ribosomal RNA
Rfam family: Bacterial small subunit ribosomal RNA
Source: RNAcentral
CCUACGGGUGGCAGCAGUAGGGAAUCUUUCACAAUGGGCGAAAGCCUGAUGGAGCAACGCCGCGUGCAGGAUGAAGGCCCUCGGGUUGUAAACUGCUUUUAUAAGCGAGAAAUAUGAUGGUAACUUAUGAAUAAGGAUCGGCUAACCACGUGCCAGCAGCCGCGGUCAUACGUAGGAUCCGAGCAUUAUCCGGAGUGACUGGGUGUAAAGAGUUGCGUAGGUGGCAUAAUAAGUAGCUAGUGAAAUCUGGUGGCGCAACCAUUCAGACUAUUGGCUAAACUGUUAAGCUCGAGACCGUUAGGGGUAACUGGAAUUUCUAGUGUAGGAGUGAAAUCCGUAGAUAUUAGAAGGAACACCAAUAGCGUAGGCAGGUUGCUGGGACGGUUCUGACACUAAGGCACGAAAGCGUAGGGAGCAAACGGGAUUAGAUACCCCUGUAGUC